ACGGGGGGCAGCAGUGAGGAAUAUUGGUCAAUGGGCGGAAGCCUGAACCAGCCAAGUCGCGUGAGGGAAUAAGGCCCUACGGGUCGUAAACCUCUUUUGCCGGGGAGCAAGGGCGGGGACGUGUCCCGGCCCGGAGAGUACCCGGAGAAAAAGCAUCGGCUAACUCCGUGCCAGCAGCCGCGGUAAUACGGAGGAUGCGAGCGUUAUCCGGAUUUAUUGGGUUUAAAGGGUGCGCAGGCGGCGUGUCAAGUCAGCGGUAAAAUGUCGGGGCUCAACCCCGGCCGGCCGUUGAACCUGGCGUACUC
RNAcentral lists this ribosomal RNA (305 nucleotides) under uncultured bacterium. RNAcentral's name for it is "bacterial SSU rRNA". It matches the Rfam family "Bacterial small subunit ribosomal RNA", at positions 341 to 643 of the family's 1533-position model. The record is from RNAcentral.